RNAcentral lists this ribosomal RNA (638 nucleotides) under Bacillus mycoides. RNAcentral's name for it is "bacterial SSU rRNA". It matches the Rfam family "Bacterial small subunit ribosomal RNA", at positions 77 to 698 of the family's 1533-position model. Lineage: Bacteria; Bacillati; Bacillota; Bacilli; Caryophanales; Bacillaceae. The record is from RNAcentral.
AGCUUGCUCUUAUGAAGUUAGCGGCGGACGGGUGAGUAACACGUGGGUAACCUACCCAUAAGACUGGGAUAACUCCGGGAAACCGGGGCUAAUACCGGAUAAUAUUUUGAACUGCAUAGUUCGAAAUUGAAAGGCGGCUUCGGCUGUCACUUAUGGAUGGACCCGCGUCGCAUUAGCUAGUUGGUGAGGUAACGGCUCACCAAGGCAACGAUGCGUAGCCGACCUGAGAGGGUGAUCGGCCACACUGGGACUGAGACACGGCCCAGACUCCUACGGGAGGCAGCAGUAGGGAAUCUUCCGCAAUGGACGAAAGUCUGACGGAGCAACGCCGCGUGAGUGAUGAAGGCUUUCGGGUCGUAAAACUCUGUUGUUAGGGAAGAACAAGUGCUAGUUGAAUAAGCUGGCACCUUGACGGUACCUAACCAGAAAGCCACGGCUAACUACGUGCCAGCAGCCGCGGUAAUACGUAGGUGGCAAGCGUUAUCCGGAAUUAUUGGGCGUAAAGCGCGCGCAGGUGGUUUCUUAAGUCUGAUGUGAAAGCCCACGGCUCAACCGUGGAGGGUCAUUGGAAACUGGGAGACUUGAGUGCAGAAGAGGAAAGUGGAAUUCCAUGUGUAGCGGUGAAAUGCGUAGAGAUA